CAGCAGCCGCGGUAAUACGUAGGGGGCGAGCGUUACCCGGAUUCACUGGGCGUAAAGGGGGUGUAGGCGGCUCGGUAAGUCGGGUGUGAAAUCCCACGGCUCAACCGUGGAAUUGCGCCCGAAACUGCCGAGCUUGGGGCCGGUAGAGGGAGACGGAACUGCCGGUGUAGGGGUGAAAUCCGUAGAUAUCGGCAGGAACGCCGGUGGGGAAGCCGGUCUCCUGGGCCGCGCCCGACGCUGAGGCCCGAAAGCUAGGGGAGCAAACCGGAUUAGAUACCCGGGUAGUCCUAGCCGUAAACGAUGCCCACUAGGUGUGGGGGAGUAUUGCCUCCGUGCUGUAGCUAACGCGUUAAGUGGGCCGCCUGGGGAGUACGCCCGCAAGGGUGAAACUUAAAGGAAUUGGCGGG
RNAcentral lists this ribosomal RNA (407 nucleotides) under uncultured microorganism. RNAcentral describes it as "bacterial SSU rRNA". It matches the Rfam family "Bacterial small subunit ribosomal RNA", at positions 509 to 917 of the family's 1533-position model. The record is from RNAcentral.